GCACUGCGCGGCUAGGGGAGCGCCCCGCCCCGCCCCGGCCCGGAAACCGCCGGGAAGGGGACCCCGGAGCCCACCGCUCUGGAGUCCCCGUUCGUGCAGCAGUGCUCACGUACCUCGUCCCUUCCGCACACCUGCUGGAUCUGGAAGGAAGCAGGAUAAGUUAAUGAGAUGUCCACCAGAGGGCCUGGCGUGGACACAGCACAUGGCCACAGAGGCUGGUGGGCGCUAUGGAAUCUUGUCCCCUGGAGAGGCACACAGCCAGGGCAGAACAUCAAGGUCAAGGCUCUCCUGAAGGCUCUGCAGUGCUUAGUGACACCACCAUCAAUGACCGUCAGGUAUCAGGAACAGGUGCUCUUCCUUGGUGGGGAAGAGCCUAGGUGUGCGACCUGCUGGCAGGAUACCUGGGCCAUCUCGUGCAGCCACUGGCUCCUUCCUCGCUCUCUUGGUGCUCCCUGUUCAACAGAGGCUUUUCCAGGCAGGGUGCAAACAGCCAGAGCUUAAUGAGCUUUUAAGAUUAGAGAUGCUAUUCGCCUGGGGUUGCUGUGCAGCCGAGACUGAGGGUGACUCAUGCCGAAUAUAUACUGCCUAGACAGUGACAAUUCGCAGCAUCUCUCACUACUAAACUACAAAAUGUUGUUCCCUUGCUCUCCCUCACCCUGGGCCAUCUGUUUGUCUCUAUUACUGGUUACACAGUACUGUCAGGGGACUUCUGCCCCCUCCUACAUGGCUCACUUCAGGGCUGCCACUCCACACAUUACAAACCUACACAUCUAAGACCCGGAACCAGCCCUUCUGUUCAGCAGCAACAUGUCCACCCCCAGCUCCAAGCUGGGGAGCGAAUUAAAGUGAUUAACAAAUGGUAAAUGGUGCUCAACGAUUUCAAUGAGUAAUUAAGAGAAAGAAAUGGAAGACCCAGCUGCAGAGGAAAUAUUAGGUAUUGAUAUAUGACAUUGUUAUAAACUGUCACGACUGUCACCUGUCACGUCACCUGUCAGUCAUGUCACAUGUCACUGUCACCUGUUGUCUGUCACUGCCACCUGUUGCAUGUCACCUAUUACCUGAACCAUCACCUGUUGUCACGUCACUGUCAUGUCGCCUAUCAUGUCACAUCACUCAUCUGUCCUGACACCUGUCACCUGUCACAUCACUAACGUCACGGGUCAUUUGCAUGUCCUUGGCAUGCAACAAACAUAUCAUGUCAUUGGUAUGUCACGUCAUUGGCAUGGCCAUGUAGUAAGCACAUCUUUAACAUGUAAAAAGCAGGCCAUCAGCAUGCUUUUGCCAUGGCUUCAACACAUAAGCAUGCCACAUGUUCCUGACAUGUAAGAGACAUCCUUAUUAUGUAA
RNAcentral lists this long non-coding RNA (1346 nucleotides) under Homo sapiens (human). RNAcentral describes it as "HSALNT0370778". Lineage: Eukaryota; Metazoa; Chordata; Mammalia; Primates; Hominidae. The record is from RNAcentral.